UGGGGAAUAUUGGACAAUGGGCGAAAGCCUGAUCCAGCCAUGCCGCGUGUGUGAAGAAGGUCUUCGGAUUGUAAAGCACUUUAAGUUGGGAGGAAGGGCAGUAAGCGAAUACCUUGCUGUUUUGACGAUACCGACAGAAUAAGCACCGGCUAACUCUGUGCCAGCAGCCGCGGUAAUAUAGAGGGUGCAAGCGUUAAUCGGAAUUACUGGGCGUAAAGCGCGCGUAGGUGGUUCGUUAAGUUGAAUGUGAAAGCCCCGGGCUCAACCUGGGAACUGCAUCCAAAACUGGCGAGCUAGAGUAGGGCAGAGGGUGGUGGAAUUUCCUGUGUAGCGGUGAAAUGCGUAGAUAUAGGAAGGAACACCAGUGGCGAAGGCGACCACCUGGGCUCAUACUGACACUGAGGUGCGAAAGCGUGGGGAGCAAACAGG
Molecule: ribosomal RNA, 429 nt
Filed under: Pseudomonadota bacterium
Lineage: Bacteria; Pseudomonadati; Pseudomonadota
Description: Proteobacteria bacterium partial 16S ribosomal RNA
Rfam family: Bacterial small subunit ribosomal RNA
Source: RNAcentral